AACUUUUAGCAAUGGAUCUCUUGGCUCUCGCAUCGAUGAAGAACGCAGCGAAAUGCGAUACGUAAUGUGAAUUGCAGAAUUCAGUGAAUCAUCCAAUCUUUGAACGCACCUUGCGCCCCUUUGGAUUCCGAUGUACACACCCGUUUGAGUGUCGUGAAAAUCUCAACCUCCUCGGGUUCUUAUGGACACCGAAGGAGGCUGGGACUUUGGGGGCCUUUGCUGGCGUCUCUCGCCAGCUCCUCUCAAAUGAAUUAGUGGGGUCCUCUUUGCCGAUCCUCGACAUGUGAUAAGAUGUUUCCAUGUCUUGGUUUAUGGCUCUGUUGCUUUUGGGACCCGCUUCUAACCGUCUCAACGAGACAACGUUCGAGCGUGUCGAACACUCUUGAACCCACGAACCCUUGACCUCAAAUCGGGUGAGACUACCCGCUGAACUUAAGCAUAUCAAUAAGCGGAGGCU
RNAcentral lists this unclassified non-coding RNA (457 nucleotides) under uncultured Lactarius. RNAcentral's name for it is "sequence contains ITS2". The stretch from base 1 to 154 matches the Rfam family "5.8S ribosomal RNA". Lineage: Eukaryota; Fungi; Basidiomycota; Agaricomycetes; Russulales; Russulaceae. The record is from RNAcentral.